ACGACCCAAGGCACAUCAUUUUUUUUCUUCUAGGAGACAGAAAAGAGUGACAAAAAGCCAAGAUGAGACUGUAUCUUGCAGCUGCUGUCCUGUUGCUGGCUUUUGUUGCAUACACAGAGGCUCAGGAUGACUCAAUCCAAGAUAGGUUAUCCACAUUCAGGGAUCAGGUCACUGAGUUCAGCAAGACUGUGGCUGAAAAGGCAAAGACCCAUUUUGACACCAUGAGAACCAGUGAAUUUGCAGAGUCCACCAAGAACUGGUUCACAGAGCGGUUUCAGCAGAUUAAGCAGAAGAUAGAUGAAAUCUCUCAAUGAGCUGAUGAACCAGUCAAAGACCUCUGCCCUCAACGGCCACACUGCCAUGGCAGCUGACCUGCUGCAACAUCUAAAGGCUGAAGUCAUGUCGCUCAUAAAAUGGACAAAACUAACCUCUAUUGUCAUUUUUUUGCCUAUUAUCAUUUAUGGAAAAACUGUGUAAAAGUGCAAUAAAACACAUGAAA
Molecule: long non-coding RNA, 499 nt
Organism: Cyprinodon variegatus (sheepshead minnow)
Lineage: Eukaryota; Metazoa; Chordata; Actinopteri; Cyprinodontiformes; Cyprinodontidae
Exons: 4
Source: RefSeq, a predicted model, not a curated record